AAGAACUAGAAGAAAACCCCUAUUCUACGGAAAAAAAAUCUCUUUAUCAUGCUAUCACCACUGCUGAUUUAUGACCAGCUGUAGGGAAGGGACCCACUGGUACUGCUGAUAUCACGGUACCCGACCUAGAUCUCUACUCUUGUUCUAGAUGAGAUCCGGGAAGGAUCUUAUAGGUUCCCCGAUGAUUGCAGCUCCAGCUAAUCCUCUGCCGCAGCCGCAUACGCAUAGCCGACGAUGAGCGCG
RNAcentral lists this unclassified non-coding RNA (243 nucleotides) under Hevea brasiliensis (rubber tree). Lineage: Eukaryota; Viridiplantae; Streptophyta; Magnoliopsida; Malpighiales; Euphorbiaceae. The record is from RNAcentral.